Molecule: ribosomal RNA, 477 nt
Filed under: uncultured bacterium
Lineage: Bacteria
Description: bacterial SSU rRNA
Rfam family: Bacterial small subunit ribosomal RNA
Source: RNAcentral
GGACGAACGCUGGCGGCGUGCCUAACACAUGCAAGUCGAACGGAGUUGAGGAGCUUGCUCCUCAGCUUAGUGGCGGACGGGUGAGUAACGCGUGAGUAACCUGCCUCUGAGAGGGGAAUAACGUCCUGAAAAGAACGCUAAUACCGCAUAACAUUCAAGAGCCGCAUGACUUUUGAAUCAAAGAUUUAUCGCUCGGAGAUGGACUCGCGUCCGAUUAGCUGGUUGGUGAGGUAACGGCUCACCAAGGCGACGAUCGGUAGCCGGACUGAGAGGUUGAACGGCCACAUUGGGACUGAGACACGGCCCAGACUCCUACGGGAGGCAGCAGUGGGGGAUAUUGCGCAAUGGGGGCAAACCCCUGACGCAGCAACGCCGCGUGAAGGAUGAAGGUUUUCGGAUUGUAAACUUCUUUUAUCAGGGACGAACAAUGACGGUACCUGAUGAAUAAGCUCCGGCUAACUACGUGCCAGCCGCCGC